GAUGAACGCUGGCGGCGUGCCUAAUACAUGCAAGUCGAGCGAACAGACGAGGAGCUUGCUCCUCUGACGUUAGCGGCGGACGGGUGAGUAACACGUGGAUAACCUACCUAUAAGACUGGGAUAACUUCGGGAAACCGGAGCUAAUACCGGAUAAUAUAUUGAACCGCAUGGUUCAAUAGUGAAAGACGGUUUUGCUGUCACUUAUAGAUGGAACCGCGCCGCAUUAGCUAGUUGGUAAGGUAACGGCUUACCAAGGCGACGAUGCGUAGCCGACCUGAGAGGGUGAUCGGCCACACUGGAACUGAGACACGGUCCAGACUCCUACGGGAGGCAGCAGUAGGGAAUCUUCCGCAAUGGGCGAAAGCCUGACGGAGCAACGCCGCGUGAGUGAUGAAGGUCUUCGGAUCGUAAAACUCUGUUAUUAGGGAAGAACAAAUGUGUAAGUAACUAUGCACGUCUUGACGGUACCUAAUCAGAAGGCCACGGCUAACUACGUG
Molecule: ribosomal RNA, 497 nt
Filed under: uncultured bacterium
Lineage: Bacteria
Description: partial 16S ribosomal RNA
Rfam family: Bacterial small subunit ribosomal RNA
Source: RNAcentral